CCACCACGCCCCCCCCUGGGCCCGGCCGCGGGGUCCUAGCGCCCGGCCGGCGCGCCCCCGCGUGACUCGGUUUAUCCGGAACCCGCGAGGGGAGGAAGCAUUUUCUCGCGGCCGAAACCGCGAGGCUGGGGAGGGGCGGGUCGAAGAGGACAGGGUGAAAGGACGGGGAAGGAGAGGGGUCCCUAAGGAAGGGCUGUGCCACCGAGGCCGCCGCCGCACGUGCAGUUCGUGGCCCCGCGGGGUCCGGAGGGGCGGGUGGCUCUAGCAGCCGCAGGUCCGCAGAGGAAAUCCGGCCUGGCCCCGAUUUCUCCCGCUGUUGGCGCCGCCGCACUUAGGGGAGGCAAACAGGAGAGGUGACGGCGGGGCUGAACACGGAAGGAAAUGACCCUUCACUGGCCCUGGAGCGGCCACAAAGGGGGUUCCCCCACACCGCAGCCAUCCCCUCUGGUGGGUCCACAGUCCCCUCUCUGGUUGUGCUGUAGUGUUCAGAGCCUCCUCCAGCGUCUCCUGGACCCUCAAGCAGCUGUGGAAAGGUACCAUCUAACGGAAGAGGGUCACAGCUAUCCUCCAGACCCCGGUUCCAAGGAUCGUAGAGAAUUCCUCUUCCACAUGUUUCUCUUCCCUGAUGGUCACCAGCCCUGAGAGUAGCACAGGGUGCCCCAUUUUACAGAUGGGGAAGGGACCACCCAAAGCCUUGUGG
Bos taurus (domestic cattle) is the source of this 700-nucleotide long non-coding RNA. The record is from Ensembl. NCBI's taxonomy places the organism in Eukaryota, Metazoa, Chordata, Mammalia, Artiodactyla, Bovidae.